RNAcentral lists this long non-coding RNA (585 nucleotides) under Amborella trichopoda. RNAcentral describes it as "long non-coding RNA (ATRI_LNC003066)". Lineage: Eukaryota; Viridiplantae; Streptophyta; Magnoliopsida; Amborellales; Amborellaceae. The record is from RNAcentral.
AUAGGACAAGGAGAGAGAAAAUGGAGAGAGAGAGGCACGGGAUAGAGAGAGAGGGGAGGCACAAGAUUAGUAUCAAAACCCAGGGAGAGCGUGUACCUCUUCGAUGUUGUGAGAGAGAAGAGGUGCCCCGCCUGAUUUGUACCGAAUACUCCUUCGCUGAGAGAGGUUGCUCCGUUGUCGAGAGCUUUGGAGACAACAUAGAAGAAGUGGGAGGGAGGAAGGGACACUGAGAUGGGGGUUUUGUUCCUGUAUAAGGGAGGGCGGUGGAGAGAGAGAGAGUAAAUUCCAAUUACAGUUCCUAUGUGCUUUGCCUUGCUACUGUACAUCCAUUGAGAGAGAGUUGCUCUUAUAAAGAGAGAACUUUCGUCCUCUGCCUUGAUUUUUAGAGAGAGAGAAAUACUUUCUAUUUUACCCUAGUUUUUAAAGAGAGAGCUUCUGCCCUGAUCGCAUAGAGGAGAGAGAUGCUCGUGGUGGGGGGCUUGGUAGAGACAGAACUCUAGCCUACCAUUUUUAUGAGAGAGAACUACUCGUAUAUAGAGAGAGUGUGCUUUGAAUAGAAUGGGACAAAGUUAUUGUGGGUCACCG